Papilio polytes (common Mormon) is the source of this 363-nucleotide long non-coding RNA. RefSeq lists it as uncharacterized. The transcript is spliced from 2 exons. NCBI's taxonomy places the organism in Eukaryota, Metazoa, Arthropoda, Insecta, Lepidoptera, Papilionidae. The record is from RefSeq and is a predicted model, not a curated record.
UCUUUGGUUUUUUUGUUUUGUACGUUCAAUUGCAUCACUUUGCGGGAAGCUUGCGGUCGGAAGUUUGAAAUAUUAUAGAUGGAAAAUGGAAAUGCUUUUAUUGAAUUGCUAUUUACAAAAGAAAAGGUAUACAAACAAUAGUCCGUUGGAUCGUAAAGCGAUAAGAGAGAAAAAGAUGCACGGAGCCGCCCGCUCCUUCGCGGAAGAGUUUUUGCGCCACUGAUUCCUGGAAUGGCGGUGGGCUUUUUUCGCGCCAAACUCUUAUUACAAUGAGAUGAUACGCAUGCUAUUAUCGAACGGUUCCCGAAACAGCAAUCAUUAUUAUUAUUAUCAGUCAAAUAAAAUCUUUCUUUUCUUCUUUGA